This 260-nucleotide microRNA precursor is filed under the name Paramuricea clavata. The record is from RNAcentral. Lineage: Eukaryota; Metazoa; Cnidaria; Anthozoa; Malacalcyonacea; Plexauridae.
AAUCACAAGGCAACACCCAGGUUGAAGAUCUUGGCAAGAUCUUGCAGGAUUUUUGGUAAGAUCUUGCAGGAUCAUGGCAAGAUCCUGCAAGAUCUUAGGUAAGAUCCUGUAAGAACUUGGAAAGAUCUUGCAGGAUCCUGCAAGAUCCUUCCAUAAUCUUGCAGGAUUUAUGUAAGAUCUUGGCAGGAUCUUGGUAAGAUCUUGGGUAAGAUCUUGCUGGGAUCUUGGCAAGAUUGUCAACCUGGGCAUGUGUUGACAUU